UCUUUAUGGAGAACGGAGAACCAACAGAAACAGAUCAGAUGGAACAUAAUGAUGGACGCACACCAUUGACAAACAUCUCAAACACCAUUACUAUAGCUGAUGAAAAUGGAUCGAAAAGGCUUGGUCCAAAUGUCGAUGCUAAGGAACGUAAGAGGCAAAGGGAAAGGGAAAGAUAUGCCGCGAUGACCGUUGAACAAAAAAACGAGAAAAGUAGAAAACGUCGUGAAGCAAGCCAACGAAAUAAAGGACCUCCUAUACAAACAGAGGGAUCUACAGUUAGUCUUUCAGAUGGCUGUAGCACAAUUGAUUUCACAAACUUUGCAACACAAGUUCCAAAUGUGAAUCGAGAUGAUGAUAGCGAUUGGUUGCAUAGGAAUGAGACAUUCAAGUCAGACGAUGUUUUCACAACAAGAGACCUUCUGACACCAGGUUUUUGUCCCGCGAGAAUGGAAUCUCUAUUUGUAGGCUUGUCUCAUAACAAGCCAAAAAAAUCGGUGGCAACCGCAAUAGUUCGAGAAGACUAUAUUUGCACGCAAGGUGAUCUUGCUCUCAUCGAUUUUAUCAAGGAAAUCCCUUGUGAACCAAGGGUAGAAGUCGUUCUUAUUGAUGAUGCCUUCGUUGAAAGGAAGUGGAUGGAGUGUUUAUUUCAGCCGAGCGCAUAUUUAGGUGACGAGGUUAUAGACUGUUACAUAAAUUUGAUAAAAGCUCAAAAGCAUCUAAAGUGCCGAUCUGGAGGUCGCGUUCACAUAGAAAAUGCUUUCCAGUUCAAUUUCCUGAAGCGAGAUGGUGAUCUUGAAAUUAAAACAGAGGAGCUAUAUCCAAUUAAAGACAUGACACACAUAUGUAGCGCUGAACGAAGGGUGUUACUUUACCUAGACCAUGACAUGGUGUUUAUUCCGAUAAACAUCUGAGAGACGCAUUGGUAUCUUGCUGUGAUCCAUGCAAGAAAUAUGGAGAUACAAGUGCUCGAUUCACUUGGUACUUCACAAGACCGCAAAGACCUCACUGACUCUAUUAAAGGACUGCAAAGACAAAUAGAUAUGAUAUCUCAACGUAAGGAGUUAAAAGACCACAGGUGGCCAGACCUCCAAGUUGCUUCUUGGCCGCUCAGAGAAAUAGACAUGGGAUAUGCAAAGCAGACAGAUAGCUCUUCAUGUGGCCUCUUUCUUUUGAACUAUAUCGAAUACUGGACAGGGGAUGAACUGUCUGACAGUUUUACCCAGGAUGACAUGUCACACUUUAGGAAAAAAAUGGCUGCUAUAUUACUAUCUUCAGACCUGAAUAAGAGAAGGGGGUGUCUGUUAUACAAAAAUGAAAAAGAAGUUGACUCUGGAAGCCCAUCUGAUGUUGAGAUAUUAGAAAACCCAACAGAUUCUAAUAAGAGGAAACUACUCCACGUGCUUGAUGAUAGCGAAGUGGUGUUUGAAGAUGAGGAAGGCCCUAUUACUCAAGCAGACUUGCAAAGGUGGUUUGUUGAUGAUUGAGAUAAAAGAGCUCCUGUAAAAGUCUCUAACGAUGGUUGCACCAAUGACUUUUUAAUGGUUGGUCUUUCCACAAAGGACAUGCCAGUGACCAAAGCCGAUUCAAUAGAUGUUUUAUGUGAUUAUAUCAUGGCAAUAGAAGACGAUACGACACUAGAGAGAACAUGGGUGCGAAGUUUCAAUCCUUUUAAGAUAGAAAUAUCUGUCAAAGACCUGCAAAACAUAUUAACGACAACUCAAGAUAUGAUUCUAAGAUGUUUUGAUAUGGCUAUUCGGCUGCUUGCCAAUAAAGAGUCACGUAAACCGAAAGAAGAAAUCAUAAAUAAUAGAAAGCAUUAUAUGGACAUGCGUUUUUGGAGAAUGGUUGGUUUUGGUAAAAUACCAAAGUACCAUCAGGAUCCUACAACAGAAGAGUUGGCCAAAACACUAGAUUGUUGGCCAUCAAUGAAUUAUUAUAUCACGGGUUGUAGAUAUGUUCUCAUGCCAUGGAAAUUCAAUGGAUGUCACGCCCUUUUCGUAAUAGAUCAUGUUAAAAAGCAUGUGACUUUUAUCGAUUUUACACCGACUUAAGAUUGGUGUAAACACAUGCCAUACAAGAGGUUCGCGGAAGCGAUUAUCAUGGCCUCAAAAAAAUAUAAGAUUGCUUACAGCAAGAAACGUUCUGGAUGGACGGAGGAUAUCUUUAAGUGGGAACAUACAAUUCAGACUGGUGUUCCAAUUGACUUAAGAGGGUUUAAUACCAGCUACCUCGUUCUACAAGCUAUGGCCAUGUGGGGGAAUGACAGACGACUGAAAUUUGUUGGGGAUGCAAAAACUCUUCGAAGAAACUUUGUGAUUGAUCUUUUAAGUUAUGAGGACAAUUCGUGCCGAUAUGCCAUCCCUGCAAACAUACAACAAAGACUUGUCGAUAUCGCUAGAAAGGAUUAGCUGAUUAGUGAACAGUUGUCGACACAUUUGUCUGUAACUAAUUUGUGUGAUAUUGAUAAUGUUUUCCAAUAUAUCAGUGCAAACUAUGAUAUUGAAUGAAAUAGUUUUUAUAUGAAUCUCUUUUGAAGCCAUUGAGAUUCCCAACACUUAACUAGCUUCUUGAAGGAUUCUUGUUU
This is an RNA transcript of Zea mays, 2584 nucleotides long. RefSeq lists it as uncharacterized. NCBI's taxonomy places the organism in Eukaryota, Viridiplantae, Streptophyta, Magnoliopsida, Poales, Poaceae. The record is from RefSeq and is a predicted model, not a curated record. The transcript is spliced from 16 exons.